RNAcentral lists this transfer RNA (63 nucleotides) under Pseudoleptodeira latifasciata. RNAcentral describes it as "tRNA-Lys". The record is from RNAcentral. Lineage: Eukaryota; Metazoa; Chordata; Lepidosauria; Squamata; Dipsadidae.
CACUAAGAAGCUUUUACAGCAUCAGCCUUUUAAGUUGAAGAAGAAAUACCCUUUCCUUGGUGA